CCUACGUGAGUCAGCAGUGGGGAAUAUUGCACAAUGGGGGAAACCCUGAUGCAGCGACGCCGCGUGAGUGAAGAAGUAUCUCGGUACGUAAAGCUCUAUCAGCAGGGAAGAAAAUGACGGUACCUGACUAAGAAGCCCCGGCUAACUACGUGCCAGCAGCCGCGGUAAGACGGCGGGGGCAAGCGUUAUCCGGAUUUACUGGGUGUAAAGGGAGCGUAGACGGCAGCACAAGUCUGGAGUGAAAUCCCGGGGCUUAACCCCGGAACUGCUUUGGAAACUGUGCGGCUGGAGUGCAGGAUGGGUAAGCGGAAUUCCUGGUGUAGCGGUGAAAUGCGUAGAUAUUAGGAGGAACUCCGGUGGCGAAGGCAGCUUACUGCACUGUAACUGACGUUGAGGCUCGAAGGCGUGGGGAGCGAACAGGAUUAGAUACCCGAGUAGUC
Molecule: ribosomal RNA, 440 nt
Filed under: uncultured bacterium
Lineage: Bacteria
Description: partial 16S ribosomal RNA
Rfam family: Bacterial small subunit ribosomal RNA
Source: RNAcentral